Long non-coding RNA from Brassica oleracea var. oleracea, 526 nucleotides. RefSeq lists it as uncharacterized. The transcript has 3 exons. NCBI's taxonomy places the organism in Eukaryota, Viridiplantae, Streptophyta, Magnoliopsida, Brassicales, Brassicaceae. The record is from RefSeq and is a predicted model, not a curated record.
CAAAAGGAAAAAAAUGUAAAACGCUCUCAGGCGAUGUUCUCGAGGAGUUACAGAGGCUUUUUCCCAAUCCAGCGCCUCCAUCUCUCUUCCGUGACUCCGUGCUUCUCUUCAGAAGAAGCACAAAAUAGUUCAACCUUGGAAGCAAUGGUGUUGCGGUGUCUAGCAAUCAAGACCAUGUCUUUCCUCUGGAUGCAAUCGCUACAGGUGAUGCACCAUGCUUAAAACGUGCAGGUCUACCUUGUGGAGGUGGUGAGCACCGAACCAUGGAGAACAUAAAAUCAGGGGAGAUGUAGACAACUGGUCGAGCGUCGUUGAAGCUAACUUUAGCAUGCUGAGAAUUGGAAAAAAAUGUAGUGAAGUUAAAGGUUGGGGAGACAUCAUCGGAAGGCAGCAACACCCAUGGUGGGUGUUGAGUGGAGUCAACCAUUAGUGAUUGGGUCUUGUAUUAUACUAUGGAAGCUUAGGAUCUAUUUUCUAAAUGUCUACGAGUUUUUUGUAAAACGGGUAACAUAAAAUUUAGCUAGAG